This 225-nucleotide ribosomal RNA is filed under the name uncultured bacterium. RNAcentral's name for it is "partial 16S ribosomal RNA". It matches the Rfam family "Bacterial small subunit ribosomal RNA", at positions 116 to 334 of the family's 1533-position model. The record is from RNAcentral.
CGUGGGUAACCUACCUCAUAGUGGGGGAUAACAGUCGGAAACGACUGCUAAUACCGCAUAGGACAUGGAAUCACAUGAUUCCGUGAGGAAAGGUGGCGCAAGCUAUCGCUAAGAGAUGGACCCGCGGUGCAUUAGCUAGUUGGUAGGGUAAAGGCCUACCAAGGCGAUGAUGCAUAGCCGACCUGAGAGGGUGAUCGGCCACAUUGGGACUGAGACACGGCCCAA